Molecule: ribosomal RNA, 410 nt
Filed under: uncultured bacterium
Lineage: Bacteria
Description: bacterial SSU rRNA
Rfam family: Bacterial small subunit ribosomal RNA
Source: RNAcentral
GGCGGACGGGUGAGUAACGCGUGGGUAACCUGCCUACAUACAGGGGGGACUAACAGUUGGAGACGGACUGCUAAGACCGCAUAACCCGCUAGUGUCGCAUGACACGGACGGAAAAUAUUUAUAGGUAGUGAGAUGGGCCCGCGUCUGAUUAGCUAGUUGGUAAGGUAACGGCUUACCAAGGCGACGAUCAGUAGCCGACUUGGAGAGAGUGAUCGGCCACAUUGGGACUGAGACACGGCCCAAACUCCUACGGGAGGCAGCAGUGGGGAAUAUUGGACAAUGGGGGAAACCCUGAUCCAGCCGACGCCGCGUGAGUGAAGAAGUAUUUCGGUAUGUAAAGCUCUGUCAGCAGGGAAGAUAAUGACAGUACCUGACUAAGAAGCCCCGGCUAACUACGUGCCAGCCGCCGC